RNAcentral lists this ribosomal RNA (484 nucleotides) under uncultured bacterium. RNAcentral's name for it is "partial 16S ribosomal RNA". It matches the Rfam family "Bacterial small subunit ribosomal RNA", at positions 28 to 523 of the family's 1533-position model. The record is from RNAcentral.
GACGAACGCUGGCGGCGUGCUUGACACAUGCAAGUCGAACGAUGAACCCGGAGCUUGCUCCGGCGGAUUAGUGGCGAACGGGUGAGUAACACGUGAGUAACCUGCCCUUGACUCUGGGAUAACUGCUAGAAAUGGUAGCUAAUACCGGAUACGACCCUCGGUGGCAUCACCAGGGGGUGGAAAGAAUUUCGGUCAAGGAUGGACUCGCGGCCUAUCAGCUAGUUGGUGAGGUAACGGCUCACCAAGGCGACGACGGGUAGCCGGCCUGAGAGGGUGACCGGCCACACUGGGACUGAGACACGGCCCAGACUCCUACGGGAGGCAGCAGUGGGGAAUAUUGCACAAUGGGCGCAAGCCUGAUGCAGCAACGCCGCGUGAGGGAUGACGGCCUUCGGGUUGUAAACCUCUUUUAGUAGGGAAGAAGCGAAAGUGACGGUACCUACAGAAGAAGGACCGGCCAACUACGUGCCAGCAGCCGCGGUAA